RNAcentral lists this ribosomal RNA (507 nucleotides) under uncultured bacterium. Its description in RNAcentral is "bacterial SSU rRNA". It matches the Rfam family "Bacterial small subunit ribosomal RNA", at positions 9 to 507 of the family's 1533-position model. The record is from RNAcentral.
CGAGUUUGAUCCUGCCUCAGAUUGAACGCUGGCGGCAUGCCUUACACAUGCAAGUCGAACGGCAGCACGGGAGCAAUCCUGGUGGCGAGUGGCGAACGGGUGAGUAAUAUAUCGGAACGUGCCCAGUCGUGGGGGAUAACGUAGCGAAAGCUACGCUAAUACCGCAUACGAUCUACGGAUGAAAGGCGGGGGAUCGCAAGACCUCGCGCGGACGGAGCGGCCGAUGGCAGAUUAGGUAGUUGGUGGGAUAAAAGCUUACCAAGCCGACGAUCUGUAGCUGGUCUGAGAGGACGACCAGCCACACUGGGACUGAGACACGGCCCAGACUCCUACGGGAGGCAGCAGGUGGGGUAAUUUUGGACAAUGGGGGAAACCCUGAUCCAGCCAUGCCGCGUGCAGGAUGAAGGCCUUCGGGUUGUAAACUGCUUUUGUACGGAACGAAAAGACUCUUUCUAAUACAGAGGGUCCAUGACGGUACCGUAAGAAUAAGCACCGGCUAACUACGUG